RNAcentral lists this ribosomal RNA (497 nucleotides) under uncultured bacterium. RNAcentral's name for it is "partial 16S ribosomal RNA". It matches the Rfam family "Bacterial small subunit ribosomal RNA", at positions 28 to 507 of the family's 1533-position model. The record is from RNAcentral.
GAUGAACGAGGGGGGAGGGAGGAAUAAAGGCAAGUCGAGCGAACAGACGAGGAGCUUGCUCCUCUGACGUUAGCGGCGGACGGGUGAGUAACACGUGGAUAACCUACCUAUAAGACUGGGAUAACUUCGGGAAACCGGAGCUAAUACCGGAUAAUAUAUUGAACCGCAUGGUUCAAUAGUGAAAGACGGUUUUGCUGUCACUUAUAGAUGGAUCCGCGCCGCAUUAGCUAGUUGGUAAGGUAACGGCGUACCAAGGCUACGAUGCGUAGCCGACCUGAGAGGAUGCUCAGCCACACUGGAACUGAGACACGGUCCAGACUCCUACGGGAGGCAGCAGUAGGGAAUCUUCCGCAAUGGGCGAAAGCUUGACGGAGCAACGCCGCGUGAGUGAUGAAGGUCUUCGGAUCGUAAAACUCUGUUAUUAGGGAAGAACAAAUGUGUAAGUAACUAUGCACGUCUUGACGGUACCUAAUCAGAAAGCCACGGCUACCUACGUG